ACUCAAAGGAAUUGACGGGGGCUCACACAAGCGGUGGAGGAUGUGGUUUAAUUCGAAGCAACGCGCAGAACCUUACCAAGUCUUGACAUACCGGGAUAAGUCGAAUGAAAGUUUGAUCAUUUUCAGCAAUGAAGUAACCGGAACAGGUGCUGCAUGGCUGUCGUCAGCUCGUGCCGUGAGGUGUUAGGUUAAGUCCUUUAACGAGCGAAACCCCUACGUCCAGUUGCCAGCGGGUAAAGCCGGGGACUCUGGACGGACUGCCGCGCAAGCAGGAGGAAGGUGGGGACGACGUCAAGUCAUCAUGGCCUUUAUGACUUGGGCCACACACGUCCUACAAUGGGUUAUACAAAGGGAAGCCAAGCCGCGAGGUGGAGCCAAUCCCCGAAAGUAACCCUCAGUUCAGAUUGUGGGCUGCAAUUCGCCCACAUGAAGCUGGAAUCGCUAGUAAUCGCGGAUCAGCCACGCCGCGGUGAAUUUGUUCCUGAGCCUUGCACACACCGCCCGU
RNAcentral lists this ribosomal RNA (505 nucleotides) under uncultured bacterium. RNAcentral describes it as "partial 16S ribosomal RNA". It matches the Rfam family "Bacterial small subunit ribosomal RNA", at positions 899 to 1397 of the family's 1533-position model. The record is from RNAcentral.